UAAGGAAUAUUGGUCAAUGGACGCAAGUCUGAACCAGCCAUGCCGCGUGAAGGAAGAAGGCCCUAGUGGUCGUAAACUUCUUUUAUAUGGGAAAAAUUCCCGGGUCUUGAACCCGGGUUGAUGGUACUGUAUGAAUAAGCAACGGCUAACUCCGUGCCAGCAGCCGCGGUAAUACGGAGGUUGCAAGCGUUAUCCGGAUUUAUUGGGUUUAAAGGGUGCGUAGGCGGACCGAUAAGUCAGCGGUGAAAUCCAACAGCUUAACUGUAGAAUUGCCAUUGAUACUGCCGGUCUUGAGUGCAGCUGAAGAGGGCGGAAUGUGUUGUGUAGCGGUGAAAUGCUUAGAUAUAACACAGAACACCGAUUGCGAAGGCAGCUCUCUAAACUGCAACUGACGCUGAGGCACGAAAGCGUGGGGAUCAAACAGG
Molecule: ribosomal RNA, 425 nt
Filed under: uncultured bacterium
Lineage: Bacteria
Description: bacterial SSU rRNA
Rfam family: Bacterial small subunit ribosomal RNA
Source: RNAcentral